ACGGGCAUUGCCCAGUAACGGCGAGUGAAGCGGCAAAAGCUCAAUUUUGAAAUCCCCCCGGGGAGUUGUAAUUUGAAGACUAGGGGAUUUGGCCCAAACCUGCGCAAGUCCAUUGGAACAUGGCGCCCAAGAGGGUGAGAGCCCCGUCGCGCAGGCCGCAGCCUUGACAUCCCCCCGUCAAAGAGUCGAGUUGUUUGGGAAUGCAGCUCAAAGUGGGUGGUAAAUUCCAUCUAAAGCUAAAUAUUGGCGAGAGACCGAUAGCGAACAAGUACAGUGAUGGAAAGAUGAAAAGCACUUUGAAAAGAGAGUGAAACAGUACGUGAAAUUGUUGAAAGGGAAGGGCUUGCAAGCAGACACGAGUUCGCUCGGGCCAGCAUCAAUUUCGCGAGGUGGACAACACGCCAGGAAUGUGGCAGGCUCCGGCCUGUGUUAUAGCCUGCGCGCCAUACACCUCCGCGAGAUUGAGGCCUGCUCCAAAAGGAUGCUGGCGUAAUGGUUGCAAGUCGCCCGUCUUGAAACAACGGAMACAAAAA
This 533-nucleotide ribosomal RNA is filed under the name Helenozyma melibiosica. RNAcentral describes it as "[Candida] melibiosica partial large subunit ribosomal RNA". It matches the Rfam family "Eukaryotic large subunit ribosomal RNA", at positions 68 to 664 of the family's 3401-position model. The record is from RNAcentral. Lineage: Eukaryota; Fungi; Ascomycota; Pichiomycetes; Serinales; Metschnikowiaceae.